This 2906-nucleotide ribosomal RNA is filed under the name Klebsiella oxytoca. RNAcentral describes it as "23S ribosomal RNA". It matches the Rfam family "Bacterial large subunit ribosomal RNA". The record is from RNAcentral. Lineage: Bacteria; Pseudomonadati; Pseudomonadota; Gammaproteobacteria; Enterobacterales; Enterobacteriaceae.
GGUUAAGCGACUAAGCGUACACGGUGGAUGCCCUGGCAGUCAGAGGCGAUGAAGGACGUGCUAAUCUGCGAAAAGCGUCGGUAAGGUGAUAUGAACCGUUAUAGCCGGCGAUGUCCGAAUGGGGAAACCCAGUGCAAUUCGUUGCACUAUCGUUAACUGAAUACAUAGGUUAACGAGGCGAACCGGGGGAACUGAAACAUCUAAGUACCCCGAGGAAAAGAAAUCAACCGAGAUUCCCCCAGUAGCGGCGAGCGAACGGGGAGCAGCCCGGAGUCUGAAUCAGCUUGUGUGUUAGUGGAAGCGUCUGGAAAGUCGCAGGGUACAGGGUGAUACUCCCGUACACUAAAACACACAGGUUGUGAACUCGAAGAGUAGGGCGGGACACGUGGUAUCCUGUCUGAAUAUGGGGGGACCAUCCUCCAAGGCUAAAUACUCCUGACUGACCGAUAGUGAACCAGUACCGUGAGGGAAAGGCGAAAAGAACCCCGGCGAGGGGAGUGAAAAAGAACCUGAAACCGUGUACGUACAAGCAGUAGGAGCCCACUAGUUGGGUGACUGCGUACCUUUUGUAUAAUGGGUCAGCGACUUAUAUUCUGUAGCAAGGUUAACCGUAUAGGGGAGCCGCAGGGAAACCGAGUCUUAACUGGGCGUUAAGUUGCAGGGUAUAGACCCGAAACCCGGUGAUCUAGCCAUGGGCAGGUUGAAGGUUGGGUAACACUAACUGGAGGACCGAACCGACUAAUGUUGAAAAAUUAGCGGAUGACUUGUGGCUGGGGGUGAAAGGCCAAUCAAACCGGGAGAUAGCUGGUUCUCCCCGAAAGCUAUUUAGGUAGCGCCUCGUGAAUUCAUCUUCGGGGGUAGAGCACUGUUUCGGCUAGGGGGUCAUCCCGACUUACCAACCCGAUGCAAACUACGAAUACCGAAGAAUGUUAUCACGGGAGACACACGGCGGGUGCUAACGUCCGUCGUGAAGAGGGAAACAACCCAGACCGCCAGCUAAGGUCCCAAAGUCAUGGUUAAGUGGGAAACGAUGUGGGAAGGCCCAGACAGCCAGGAUGUUGGCUUAGAAGCAGCCAUCAUUUAAAGAAAGCGUAAUAGCUCACUGGUCGAGUCGGCCUGCGCGGAAGAUGUAACGGGGCUAAACCAUGCACCGAAGCUGCGGCAGCGACACUAUGUGUUGUUGGGUAGGGGAGCGUUCUGUAAGCCGUUGAAGGUGGCCUGUGAGGGUUGCUGGAGGUAUCAGAAGUGCGAAUGCUGACAUAAGUAACGAUAAUGCGGGUGAAAAACCCGCACGCCGGAAGACCAAGGGUUCCUGUCCAACGUUAAUCGGGGCAGGGUGAGUCGACCCCUAAGGCGAGGCCGAAAGGCGUAGUCGAUGGGAAACAGGUUAAUAUUCCUGUACUUGGUGUUACUGCGAAGGGGGGACGGAGAAGGCUAUGUUGGCCGGGCGACGGUUGUCCCGGUUUAAGCAUGUAGGCGGAUGUUCCAGGUAAAUCCGGAACGUUAUUAACGCUGAGGUGUGAUGACGAGGCACUACGGUGCUGAAGUGACAAAUGCCCUGCUUCCAGGAAAAGCCUCUAAGCAUCAGGUAACAUCAAAUCGUACCCCAAACCGACACAGGUGGUCAGGUAGAGAAUACCAAGGCGCUUGAGAGAACUCGGGUGAAGGAACUAGGCAAAAUGGUGCCGUAACUUCGGGAGAAGGCACGCUGAUGGUAGGUGAAGUGACUUGCUCAUGGAGCUGAAAUCAGUCGAAGAUACCAGCUGGCUGCAACUGUUUAUUAAAAACACAGCACUGUGCAAACACGAAAGUGGACGUAUACGGUGUGACGCCUGCCCGGUGCCGGAAGGUUAAUUGAUGGGGUUAUCCUCGCGGAGAAGCUCUUGAUCGAAGCCCCGGUAAACGGCGGCCGUAACUAUAACGGUCCUAAGGUAGCGAAAUUCCUUGUCGGGUAAGUUCCGACCUGCACGAAUGGCGUAAUGAUGGCCAGGCUGUCUCCACCCGAGACUCAGUGAAAUUGAACUCGCUGUGAAGAUGCAGUGUACCCGCGGCAAGACGGAAAGACCCCGUGAACCUUUACUAUAGCUUGACACUGAACACUGGUCCUUGAUGUGUAGGAUAGGUGGGAGGCUUUGAAGUGUGGACGCCAGUCUGCAUGGAGCCGUCCUUGAAAUACCACCCUUUAAUGGCUGGUGUUCUAACGUUGGCCCCUAAUCGGGGUUGCGGACAGUGUCUGGUGGGUAGUUUGACUGGGGCGGUCUCCUCCUAAAGAGUAACGGAGGAGCACGAAGGUCAGCUAAUCCUGGUCGGACAUCAGGAGGUUAGUGCAAUGGCAUAAGCUGGCUUGACUGCGAGCGUGACGGCGCGAGCAGGUGCGAAAGCAGGUCAUAGUGAUCCGGUGGUUCUGAAUGGAAGGGCCAUCGCUCAACGGAUAAAAGGUACUCCGGGGAUAACAGGCUGAUACCGCCCAAGAGUUCAUAUCGACGGCGGUGUUUGGCACCUCGAUGUCGGCUCAUCACAUCCUGGGGCUGAAGUAGGUCCCAAGGGUAUGGCUGUUCGCCAUUUAAAGUGGUACGCGAGCUGGGUUUAGAACGUCGUGAGACAGUUCGGUCCCUAUCUGCCGUGGGCGCUGGAGAAUUGAGGGGGGCUGCUCCUAGUACGAGAGGACCGGAGUGGACGCAUCACUGGUGUUCGGGUUGUCAUGCCAAUGGCAUUGCCCGGUAGCUAAAUGCGGAAGAGAUAAGUGCUGAAAGCAUCUAAGCACGAAACUUGCCCCGAGAUGAGUUCUCCCUGACCCUUUAAGGGUCCUGAAGGAACGUUGAAGACGACGACGUUGAUAGGCCGGGUGUGUAAGCGCAGCGAUGCGUUGAGCUAACCGGUACUAAUGAACCGUGAGGCUUAACCUU